GCGGAGGGCUGGAUGGCCGCGGCCCCAGACGAAGGUCCGGGGUCGAGGAAAGUCCGGACUCCAGCUGGCAAGGGUGCCGGGUAAUCCCCGGCGGGGGCAACCCCAGGGAAAGCGCCACAGAGAAGAGACUUCCCUUGUUCGCAAGGGUAAAGGUGAAACGGUGGGGUAAGAGCCCACCGCGGACUUGGCGACAAGGACGGCACGGCAAGCCCCACCCGGAGCAAUGCCAAAUAGGGGCCUCGCGGCGAGGCUGGUCCCGGAUCUCGGUCCGGGAUACCGCUCGCCAGGGACGCCAGCGCCCGAGAGGCCCGGGUUGGCAGCUUGACCGCCGUGGCGACACGGUCGGCAGAGGAAUGGUCAUCCAGGGCCGCAAGGCCUGGACAAAAUCCGGCUUACAGGCCCUCCGCGCAA
RNAcentral lists this RNase P RNA (411 nucleotides) under Rhodobacter sp. RNAcentral describes it as "RNase P RNA component class A". It matches the Rfam family "Bacterial RNase P class A". Rfam says of the family: Ribonuclease P (RNase P) is a ubiquitous endoribonuclease, found in archaea, bacteria and eukarya as well as chloroplasts and mitochondria. The record is from RNAcentral. Lineage: Bacteria; Pseudomonadati; Pseudomonadota; Alphaproteobacteria; Rhodobacterales.